This 248-nucleotide unclassified non-coding RNA is filed under the name uncultured Xylariales. RNAcentral's name for it is "sequence contains 5.8S rRNA gene, ITS2, 28S rRNA gene". Lineage: Eukaryota; Fungi; Ascomycota; Sordariomycetes; Xylariales. The record is from RNAcentral.
AACGCACAUUGCGCCCAUUAGUAUUCUAGUGGGCAUGCCUGUUCGAGCGUCAUUAAAUCCAUUAAGCCUAGUUGCUUAGCGUUGGGAGCAUUACCGCACGGUAACUCCUCAAAGUCAGUGGCAGGGUUACGGUACACUCUAAGCGUAGUAGAUUUCUUUCUCGCUUCUGUUGUGGCCGUGGCCGUUGCCAUAAGCCUAUUAUUUUCUUGGUUGACCUCGGAUCAGGUAGGAAUACCCGCUGAACUUAA